AACGAUGUCUACUAGUCGUUGGGGAACUUGAUUCCUUAGUGACCAGCUAACGCAAUAAGUAGACCGCCUGGGGAGUACGGCCGCAAGGUUAAAACUCAAAUGAAUUGNCGGGGGCCCGCACAGCGGUGGAGCAUGUGGUUUANUUNGAUGCAACGCGAAGAACCUUACCUGGUCUUGACAUAUCUAGAAUCCUGCAGAGAUGCGGGAGUGCCUUCGGGAAUUAGAAUACAGGUGCUGCAUGGCUGUCGUCAGCUNGUGUCGUGAGAUGUUGGGUUAAGUCCCGCAACGAGCGCAACCCUUGUCCUUAGUUACCAGCGGGUUAAGCCGGGAACUCUAAGGAUACUGCCAGUGACAAACUGGAGGAAGGCGGGGACGACGUCAAGUCAUCAUGGCCCUUACGACCAGGGCUACACACNUGCUACAAUGGUAGGUACAGAGGGCAGCUACACAGCGAUGUGAUGCGAAUCUCAAAAAGCCUAUCGUAGUCCAGAUUGGAGUNUGCAACUCGACUCCAUGAAGUAGGAAUCGCUAGUAAUCGCGGAUCAGAAUGCCGCGGUGAAUACGUUCCCGGGCCUUGUACACACCGCCCGUCACACCAUGGGAGUUGAUUGCACCAGAAGUGGUUAGCCGA
Molecule: ribosomal RNA, 631 nt
Filed under: Psychrobacter sp.
Lineage: Bacteria; Pseudomonadati; Pseudomonadota; Gammaproteobacteria; Moraxellales; Moraxellaceae
Description: bacterial SSU rRNA
Rfam family: Bacterial small subunit ribosomal RNA
Source: RNAcentral